UGCUAUGAUGGUGUAAUUUGCGUCUGACUCUGAGGCCAGUGACAGAAUGCCUGCUGUCAUAUGCUGGCACAGAUGGUUGCUGAAGAUUGAGUCUGAGCA
This is a small nucleolar RNA of Thalassophryne amazonica, 99 nucleotides long. RefSeq annotates it as small nucleolar RNA SNORD16. The record is from RefSeq and is a predicted model, not a curated record. The transcript has a single exon. Lineage: Eukaryota; Metazoa; Chordata; Actinopteri; Batrachoidiformes; Batrachoididae.